UACGUAGGGGGCGAGCGUUGUUCGGAAUUACUGGGCGUAAAGGGCUCGUAGGCGGCCAACUAAGUCAGACGUGAAAUCCCUCGGCUUAACCGGGGAACUGCAUCUGAUACUGGAUGGCUUGAGUUCGGGAGAGGGAUGCGGAAUUCCAGGUGUAGCGGUGAAAUGCGUAGAUAUCUGGAGGAACACCGGUGGCGAAGGCGGCAUCCUGGACCGACACUGACGCUGAGGAGCGAAAGCCAGGGGAGCAAACGGG
This 253-nucleotide ribosomal RNA is filed under the name uncultured bacterium. Its description in RNAcentral is "partial 16S ribosomal RNA". It matches the Rfam family "Bacterial small subunit ribosomal RNA", at positions 524 to 776 of the family's 1533-position model. The record is from RNAcentral.